GGGUUGUGAGGUUAAGCGACUAAGCGUACACGGUGGAUGCCCUGGCAGUCAGAGGCGAUGAAGGACGUGCUAAUCUGCGAUAAGCGUCGGUAAGGUGAUAUGAACCGUUAUAACCGGCGAUUUCCGAAUGGGGAAACCCAGUGUGUUUCGACACACUAUCAUUAACUGAAUCCAUAGGUUAAUGAGGCGAACCGGGGGAACUGAAACAUCUAAGUACCCCGAGGAAAAGAAAUCAACCGAGAUUCCCCCAGUAGCGGCGAGCGAACGGGGAGCAGCCCAGAGCCUGAAUCAGUAUGUGUGUUAGUGGAAGCGUCUGGAAAGGCGCGCGAUACAGGGUGACAGCCCCGUACACAAAAAUGCACAUAUUGUGAGCUCGAUGAGUAGGGCGGGACACGUGGUAUCCUGUCUGAAUAUGGGGGGACCAUCCUCCAAGGCUAAAUACUCCUGACUGACCGAUAGUGAACCAGUACCGUGAGGGAAAGGCGAAAAGAACCCCGGCGAGGGGAGUGAAAAAGAACCUGAAACCGUGUACGUACAAGCAGUGGGAGCACGCUUAGGCGUGUGACUGCGUACCUUUUGUAUAAUGGGUCAGCGACUUAUAUUCUGUAGCAAGGUUAACCGAAUAGGGGAGCCGAAGGGAAACCGAGUCUUAACUGGGCGUUAAGUUGCAGGGUAUAGACCCGAAACCCGGUGAUCUAGCCAUGGGCAGGUUGAAGGUUGGGUAACACUAACUGGAGGACCGAACCGACUAAUGUUGAAAAAUUAGCGGAUGACUUGUGGCUGGGGGUGAAAGGCCAAUCAAACCGGGAGAUAGCUGGUUCUCCCCGAAAGCUAUUUAGGUAGCGCCUCGUGAAUUCAUCUCCGGGGGUAGAGCACUGUUUCGGCAAGGGGGUCAUCCCGACUUACCAACCCGAUGCAAACUGCGAAUACCGGAGAAUGUUAUCACGGGAGACACACGGCGGGUGCUAACGUCCGUCGUGAAGAGGGAAACAACCCAGACCGCCAGCUAAGGUCCCAAAGUCAUGGUUAAGUGGGAAACGAUGUGGGAAGGCCCAGACAGCCAGGAUGUUGGCUUAGAAGCAGCCAUCAUUUAAAGAAAGCGUAAUAGCUCACUGGUCGAGUCGGCCUGCGCGGAAGAUGUAACGGGGCUAAACCAUGCACCGAAGCUGCGGCAGCGACACUAUGUGUUGUUGGGUAGGGGAGCGUUCUGUAAGCCUGUGAAGGUGUGCUGUGAGGCAUGCUGGAGGUAUCAGAAGUGCGAAUGCUGACAUAAGUAACGAUAAAGCGGGUGAAAAGCCCGCUCGCCGGAAGACCAAGGGUUCCUGUCCAACGUUAAUCGGGGCAGGGUGAGUCGACCCCUAAGGCGAGGCCGAAAGGCGUAGUCGAUGGGAAACAGGUUAAUAUUCCUGUACUUGGUGUUACUGCGAAGGGGGGACGGAGAAGGCUAUGUUGGCCGGGCGACGGUUGUCCCGGUUUAAGCGUGUAGGCUGGUUUUCCAGGCAAAUCCGGAAAAUCAAGGCUGAGGCGUGAUGACGAGGCACUACGGUGCUGAAGCAACAAAUGCCCUGCUUCCAGGAAAAGCCUCUAAGCAUCAGGUAACAUCAAAUCGUACCCCAAACCGACACAGGUGGUCAGGUAGAGAAUACCAAGGCGCUUGAGAGAACUCGGGUGAAGGAACUAGGCAAAAUGGUGCCGUAACUUCGGGAGAAGGCACGCUGAUAUGUAGGUGAAGUCCCUCGCGGAUGGAGCUGAAAUCAGUCGAAGAUACCAGCUGGCUGCAACUGUUUAUUAAAAACACAGCACUGUGCAAACACGAAAGUGGACGUAUACGGUGUGACGCCUGCCCGGUGCCGGAAGGUUAAUUGAUGGGGUUAGCCGCAAGGCGAAGCUCUUGAUCGAAGCCCCGGUAAACGGCGGCCGUAACUAUAACGGUCCUAAGGUAGCGAAAUUCCUUGUCGGGUAAGUUCCGACCUGCACGAAUGGCGUAAUGAUGGCCAGGCUGUCUCCACCCGAGACUCAGUGAAAUUGAACUCGCUGUGAAGAUGCAGUGUACCCGCGGCAAGACGGAAAGACCCCGUGAACCUUUACUAUAGCUUGACACUGAACAUUGAGCCUUGAUGUGUAGGAUAGGUGGGAGGCUUAGAAGUGUGGACGCCAGUCUGCAUGGAGCCGACCUUGAAAUACCACCCUUUAAUGUUUGAUGUUCUAACGUUGACCCGUAAUCCGGGUUGCGGACAGUGUCUGGUGGGUAGUUUGACUGGGGCGGUCUCCUCCUACAGAGUAACGGUGGAGCACGAAGGUUGGCUAAUCCUGGUCGGACAUCAGGAGGUUAGUGCAAUGGCAUAAGCCAGCUUGACUGCGAGCGUGACGGCGCGAGCAGGUGCGAAAGCAGGUCAUAGUGAUCCGGUGGUUCUGAAUGGAAGGGCCAUCGCUCAACGGAUAAAAGGUACUCCGGGGAUAACAGGCUGAUACCGCCCAAGAGUUCAUAUCGACGGCGGUGUUUGGCACCUCGAUGUCGGCUCAUCACAUCCUGGGGCUGAAGUAGGUCCCAAGGGUAUGGCUGUUCGCCAUUUAAAGUGGUACGCGAGCUGGGUUUAGAACGUCGUGAGACAGUUCGGUCCCUAUCUGCCGUGGGCGCUGGAGAACUGAGGGGGGCUGCUCCUAGUACGAGAGGACCGGAGUGGACGCAUCACUGGUGUUCGGGUUGUCAUGCCAAUGGCACUGCCCGGUAGCUAAAUGCGGAAGAGAUAAGUGCUGAAAGCAUCUAAGCACGAAACUUGCCCCGAGAUGAGUUCUCCCUGACUCCUUGAGAGUCCUGAAGGAACGUUGAAGACGACGACGUUGAUAGGCCGGGUGUGUAAGCGCAGCGAUGCGUUGAGCUAACCGGUACUAAUGAACCGUGAGGCUUAACCUUACAACGCCGAAGGUGUUU
This 2932-nucleotide ribosomal RNA is filed under the name Escherichia coli. RNAcentral's name for it is "bacterial LSU rRNA". It matches the Rfam family "Bacterial large subunit ribosomal RNA". The record is from RNAcentral. Lineage: Bacteria; Pseudomonadati; Pseudomonadota; Gammaproteobacteria; Enterobacterales; Enterobacteriaceae.